AUUGAACGCUGGCGGCAUGCCUUACACAUGCAAGUCGAACGGUAACGGGCCUUCGGGUGCCGACGAGUGGCGAGCGGGUGAGUAAUACAUCGGAACGUGCCCGAUCGUGGGGGAUAACGAGGCGAAAGCUUUGCUAAUACCGCAUACGAUCUACGGAUGAAAGCAGGGGACCGCAAGGCCUUGCGCGGACGGAGCGGCCGAUGGCAGAUUAGGUAGUUGGUGGGAUAAAAGCUUACCAAGCCGACGAUCUGUAGCUGGUCUGAGAGGAUGAUCAGCCACACUGGGACUGAGACACGGCCCAGACUCCUACGGGAGGCAGCAGUAGGGAAUUUUGGACAAUGGGCGCAAGCCUGAUCCAGCCAUGCCGCGUGCAGGAUGAAGGCCUUCGGGUUGUAAACUGCUUUUGUACGGAACGAAAAGCCUUCUUUUAAUACAGGAGGGUCAUGACGGUACCGUAAGAAUAAGCACCGGCUAACUACGUG
This 482-nucleotide ribosomal RNA is filed under the name uncultured bacterium. RNAcentral describes it as "partial 16S ribosomal RNA". It matches the Rfam family "Bacterial small subunit ribosomal RNA", at positions 30 to 507 of the family's 1533-position model. The record is from RNAcentral.